Molecule: long non-coding RNA, 970 nt
Organism: Eriocheir sinensis (Chinese mitten crab)
Lineage: Eukaryota; Metazoa; Arthropoda; Malacostraca; Decapoda; Varunidae
Exons: 2
Source: RefSeq, a predicted model, not a curated record
AGAAGGAUCAGGUAGAGAAGAAACCUGUUGGCUCAGGUGCGACGUCACGUGAGGGCGGGGGCAGCACGCGGCGGGCGGGCGCGUGCGGCGGCGGUUGCCUCCUUGGCCGCCAGGUGGCAGGCCGGCAAAUCGAUCGCUGCCUCCCAGAUAUAACCCGGCCAGUGCUCGUGUAGGGCGUGUCGUCAAAUUGUCGCUGCAAACUCCCCGUUUUACCGUCGUUCUUGCUGUCAUUCUGAUCUACUAACAGGUGUAGCAGCAGGCAGGAGAGCAGCAGCAGUAGCAGCAGGCACAGCAGUAGCAGGUGUUGGGUUAGCGCUGGAGACCUAAUGGUCCGCCGGCGUACCCUAUGUUGAGCCUGCGCCUCGUGUCCACCAGGUCACUGAAACAACCUUAGGCAGGACCAUCAUGUGCCGUGACAGAGAUAUGAACCCUUGACCUUCUUUUCUACCUGCCCGCUGCCCAGUUAUCACCACCACCGCCGCUGUCAUCACAGUCGUAAUUGACGACUCCGUCAAUUCUAUCGCCGCUGCCGCCGCCACGACCACUGGUAUAUUCGAGGCAUCGACAUCGUCGCACCCACAACCGCCACCACGGCCGCUGUCUUCGCCCUCACGUGCGCUAUCAGCACACCGUCACCAGGGCCCCCACCAUCACGCCAGCAACAGCGUCAGCUCGAGUCCGGUGUUCCUCAGUGUAGCUCAGCUUAAAUAAGGCUCUGUCAGCCCAACCCAGCAGGGCUCAGAGUGGUCAGAGCGUCAGGGCAGUGGCACGGCCCUUCCCUUUCCUUAACCACCACCACCACCACCACCACCACCACCACACCACCAUCACCUUCCAGACCUGUCCUUCAAGCACACCGAAUCCCAAGGCCGGGUUGCCUUGCCUGCUCCCGCCUGAACCUCCUUCCCUUCCCUGCAGGAUACUUCCUGUCACCACCUUCCUCACCUCACCUCACCUCCCCGGACCACCU